CCAGCCCAUGACGCUGUGAAUGGAAAACAGAGUGGAAUGCAAACGGAGAGAUGUUCGCCCAUCGGGGAGACAAGAUACGACAACGGAGGAAGAACGUGACGAAUUAAUUGAGAAGUUCAACCAAAGUUGACAAUUAUUCUGGCGGUAUCCUUCCAUACUCCAAGAAGUAGCGCUUCAGACGCAGUGCGGUCACGUGGCAAACAUCUCUGCCGCCCCUCCUCCAGAUGCCCCUUCAACCUGAUGGAUGUCAUCAAUAAUGGACCCCCGUUGUUCACUUCCACCCCGGGACAAAGAGACGGCAGCCCGGGCCCAGCAGAGGUGUGAUAAUUCACAUCCACAUUUAUACUUUUAAAUUUCAUCAAGUAGUUUACCUUGCCAAACACGCCACAGGCUGAGAGGGGAAAGCUGACAAAGAAAUGUGGCUUUGAUAGAAGCCGGCGAAAUCCGGCCUGACUGUCUUCGCUCAGGGUAAAAGCCGGCGAAUGAGGUAAACGCAUCAGUGGCGGGACUUGUCUCAAACGCGGAAACGCUGGAUCUAUGGGCUACGACGUAAUAAAGCACAACAGGCAGGAAGUCACACG
This is a long non-coding RNA of Triplophysa rosa, 581 nucleotides long. RefSeq lists it as uncharacterized. The transcript has 4 exons. The record is from RefSeq and is a predicted model, not a curated record. Lineage: Eukaryota; Metazoa; Chordata; Actinopteri; Cypriniformes; Nemacheilidae.